RNAcentral lists this ribosomal RNA (458 nucleotides) under uncultured bacterium. RNAcentral's name for it is "bacterial SSU rRNA". It matches the Rfam family "Bacterial small subunit ribosomal RNA", at positions 30 to 506 of the family's 1533-position model. The record is from RNAcentral.
UGAACGCUGGCGGCGUGCUUAAUACAUGCAAGUCGAACGGAGAUAGUAGCAAUAUUAUCUUAGUGGCGAACGGGUGAGUAACGCGUUGGUGUCCUGCCCCGAAGAGAGGGAUAGCAGUUCGAAAGGACUGAUAAUACCUCAUGUGGUUGUUGGUUUUAGAAUCUGACAACUAAACGGAUUUAUUCGCUUCGGGAGGGGCCUGCGUCCCAUCAGCUAGUUGGUAGGGUAAUGGCCUACCAAGGCGAUGACGGGUAGGGGACCUGAGAGGGUGGCCCCCCACAAUGGAACUGAAACACGGUCCAUACACCUACGGGUGGCAGCAGUAGGGAAUAUUGGUUAAUCUGCGAAAGCGGGAACCAGCAACGCCGCGUGCACGAUGAAGGCCUUCGGGUUGUAAAGUGCUUUUUGUGAGGAUGAGGAAGGACAGUACUCUUAGAAUAAGCUUCGGCUAACUACGU